UAAAAAAUAAAAAUAAAUCAAAAACUCAACAAACAAAAAAUGCUAAUUUUAGACAGUGAAACUUGCUACAAAAAAUAUAGAACAGAGAGGCUGCUUUAGAUUGGAGCAUAAGUGAGGGCUUUUGAAAUGGUGAUAUUUGAGUGAGAGCAGGAGGUUGAGUCAGCUAUGCAAGCAAUGGAGUAUGUGAUGGCUAAUGUCAUCUGUCAACUUACUGGGCCACAGUGCCAAGACACGUGGAAACUAUUCUGGAUGUUUCUGUGAGGGUGUUUGUAGAUGAGAUUCACAUUCAAGUUGGUGAACUUUGAGUAAAGCAGAUUGCCCUCCAUGAUGUGGGUGGGUCUCCCCCAGUAAGCUGAAAGCCCAGCUAAAAAGAACAAAAAAGACUGACCUCCCUUGAGCAAGAGAAUAUUCUGGCUUUCCCAGGUCUCCAGUCUGCAACCCACCCUGCAGAUUUUGGACUUGUCAGCCUCCAUAAACACAUGAACCAAUUCCCUAAAUAAUUCUCUUUCUAUUAAUACGUACAUGCACAUCCGAUUGGUUCUGUUUGUCUAGAGAGCCCCGACUAACUCAAGGUGGGGGGUAUUCUGUGCAGAGAGAACAGCAAUCCCUGAGACAGGAAGUGAGCCUUCAAGUUGGCAAGAAGGCUGGCGUGUGGGGCUGGGUGGAGGAGGGGGUGCAGGGCAAGGUGGGGCCUUGUGGAAACAAGCCGUUGGGAUAGAGCACUGGACCUGGGAGAGGACUGCUCAUCCAGCACAAGGGGGGAAGCCAGGUGCCAAGGGACUAAGAUGCAAGUAGGUGGGGAGGAAGCCGGAGCUGCUCUGGAGACAACUCUCUCAAGAUGUUUAGUGUUUACAGAAUGAAGAGAAGAUGUAGAAGGGGGGUUUUAAAGAAAGAGAAUCUUGCUUAUGGGUAUGGGAAGGCUGAUGAGAGACAGACUGACAUGGCGAGAGAGAGAGAGAGAGAGAGAGAGAGAGAGAGAGAGAGAGAAUAACUGGUGAGGGGAAGGCCCAGACAUGGGUGGGUGGAAGGUUAGGGCAUUGUAGUGGGAUGAAUGGUAUCUCCACCCCAAAUAUAUCCACAUCCCAAUACCCAGACCCCCGAAUGUCACCUUACAUGGGAAAAGAGUCUUUGUAGACACAAUCACAUUAAGAAUCUUGGGAUGAGAUCAUCUUGGAUUAUCUGUGUAGGCCCUAAAUCCAAAAACAAGGGUUCUUAUAAGAGACAGAGGAGAAGACACAGGGACACACAAACAGCAACUUGACCGUGGAGGAAUGAUUGGAGUGAUGCUGCCAAGGAAGCCGAGGAUUGCUGGGAGCCCCCAGAGCCUCCGGAGGGAGUGCAGCCCUGCCAACAACUUGAUUUAGGACUUCCAGCCUUUGGAACUCUGACGAAAUGCAUUUCGGUCGUUUUAGAGCGCCAGGUUUGUGGUAAGUCAUUACUGCAGCCCAAGGAAACAAAUGCAGCCACAAACAACCCAAUGUGACACCCCUUCCUCCUAGAAGCGUGGGGCUGUCACUGGGCUGGGGAACGUGUGCUGCCUUGGGAUGCCUCGUUGACCCUGGGCUCUGUUCCUGCUCCCAUGGUUUUUAAACAUUUUACAUGUUUCUGUCAUAGGAAGCCAAGUGAUGCAGGGAAAUGACAUGGCCUUGGGAGACAGACCUGCCAGGCUUUGGAACACAGCUUCUCGGUAUUCCAGUGUGAUUCCUGAGUCUCGGAUUGAAGGUUCUAAUUUAUGUAGAAUGCUUAGCACAGGCCCUGGGACCUGGUGAGACAAAAAGAACUGAAGCCACGAGUGGCACCCAGAUCCGAUUCCUGGGCCUGCUAUACCAUCCUGAUCAAGAGAUUCUUUAGUAAAGAAAGUUGAAUCCACCCAGGUUUUUGCCAUCUGCUUCCCGAGAGCUAGCCUAAGUCCUUCCUGCUACAGUCUUUCUGUGGCCCCCUGCUGAGCCCCAGAGCCAAACCCUGUCCUGGUUCCAGCCCAGCUUUCUCAUCCGAUGUUUGUCUCUCUUUUCUUUUCCCACAGUGGGGUGUAGGGUUAAAGCGUAUUGCUAAAAUGGUGUCUCUUCGUGGAUCUUUUCGCAUAACAUUUAAUCGCUGGUAAUGACCGUGACCCCAGUGGCAGUCAUCUAGUGAACUUCAAGCUGGCAUUUCAAUUAGCAGUACUGAUCGCGGGGUUUGGGCAUUCCAUAUAUUUGUGAGGAAGCGCAGCCCAAGAGCAGUCAGCUAAGGGACUUAUUAGCACAGUGCUUCUUGGGGGGAAUAAAUAACCUCAUUACAGUUUCUUUUGCUCUGGUUGAGAGAAAGGAAGAAAAGUUGACUCUCUCGGGCAGUUAUUUGCAUGGAGAAGGGCUCGGUGCCCACAGCUGCCUGUAACAGGAGGGUUUUUCUCUCCUCCCUGCUCCCCCCGGCACUCCCCUCUCCUUUUCUCCUCCCCUCCCCCUCAUUUCCUUUCCUCUUCUUCUCUUUCUUUUCCUUGUUAAAGCCUUUGGUGGUAAUAAGGUAGCUUAGCGUCCCAAGUGGGUACAACUCCCCCCACCCCCCGCCAAAUGCUCAUGCAGACCCUUGGACCCCCAUGAAGGUCAAAGUCCUUUUCUUCCCCUGGUGCCCAGGAGUCCCCCCUACCUGCCAGGUGCUUACAAGCCAGGUGCCCCGUGGGUCUGCCGUGUGUGUCCUCAUGUCCUUCCUCUCCUGCAGGGACAUCCUUUCACGGUGUCCCCUUCUCACUAGGCUUCCUGGGGCACCUCCCUGUGGCCAGUGCUGCUGGCACCCCUGGUGGGAGGGUGGCACCCGGAGGGCACAGUGUCUCCUGCUCCUGCGUAGCUUGGCUGUCUGGGGUGGGGUCACUCAGAGCUCCCAGGAUGUCACAACCUCCCAUGGGGGGGGGACCUGGGCCCCGGAACACAGAGGGUUUGACUCCCGCUUGUCCUGCAUCGACCCUCUUGUCUCCUCUGGAUGCCACCCUCAGCUCUGCCCCUCUUCCUUGUCCUCGCCCCAUGCAGCCACAUAAAUAAAACAACAAACAAAGAAAUGAGCAAAACCCCACAUGGCAGUAAACUCAGGCAGUAAACUCAGGUGCCACACAGGCUCGGCUGGGACAUGCCGCCACUUCAAAAGGAAUCACUAAAAAUGGGAGCUUGUGUUUAAGUUUUGAUGUACCCAACUGCACACGCUCUAUUCCCAGUCAGGGUCACUGCCUUACAUUACUGUAUCCCCAAGCAGACACCAGUGUGGUCCCUGGAAGAGCCUUGGACUUGGUGGAGUGAAAGACCCUGGUUUUGAUCCCGUGUCACUUUACACUGUGUGAUUUGGGGCUGUUAUUUAAUAAUUUUUUCCUUAAUGUCUUCAUCUUGUAAACCCAGUAAGGUCAAAUGAGCUAAUUUGAGUAGUAGACUAUUUUUCUGGUGCAUAACAGAGAAUAAUAUAUAUUUUUUUUUUACCAAUAAACUCACUGUACUGCUUCAGAACAUG
This is a long non-coding RNA of Lemur catta (Ring-tailed lemur), 3468 nucleotides long. RefSeq lists it as uncharacterized. NCBI's taxonomy places the organism in Eukaryota, Metazoa, Chordata, Mammalia, Primates, Lemuridae. The transcript has 2 exons. The record is from RefSeq and is a predicted model, not a curated record.